GCAGCACUUCGCGUGGGGAUUAGUGGCGAACGGGUGAGUAACACGUGGGCAAUCUGCCCUGCACUCUGGGACAAGCCCUGGAAACGGGGUCUAAUACCGGAUACUGAUCAUCUUGGGCAUCCAAGGUGUUCGAAAGCUCCGGCGGUGCAGGAUGAGCCCGCGGCCUAUCAGCUUGUUGGUGAGGUAAUGGCUCACCAAGGCGACGACGGUAAGCCGGCCUGAGAGGGCGACCGGCCACACUGGGACUGAGACACGGCCCAGACUCCUACGGGAGGCAGCAGUGGGGAAUAUUGCACAAUGGGCGAAAGCCUGAUGCAGCGACGCCGCGUGAGGGAUGACGGCCUUCGGGUUGUAAACCUCUUUCAGCAGGGAAGAAGCGAAAGUGACGGUACCUGCAGAAGAAGCGCCGGCUAACUACGUGCCAGCAGCCGCGGUAAUACGUAGGGCGCGAGCGUUGUCCGGAAUUAUUGGGCGUAAAGAGCUCGUAGGCGGCUUGUCACGUCGGUUGUGAAAGCCCGGGGCUUAACCCCGGGUCUGCAGUCGAUACGGGCAGGCUAGAGUUCGGUAGGGGAGAUCGGAAUUCCUGGUGUAGCGGUGAAAUGCGCAGAUAUCAGGAGGAACACCGGUGGCGAAGGCGGAUCUCUGGGCCGAUACUGACGCUGAGGAGCGAAAGCGUGGGGAGCGAACAGGAUUAGAUACCCUGGUAGUCCACGCCGUAAACGGUGGGCACUAGGUGUGGGCAACAUUCCACGUUGUCCGUGCCGCAGCUAACGCAUUAAGUGCCCCGCCUGGGGAGUACGGCCGCAAGGCUAAAACUCAAAGGAAUUGA
RNAcentral lists this ribosomal RNA (829 nucleotides) under Streptomyces sp. HXLW-R38. RNAcentral's name for it is "bacterial SSU rRNA". It matches the Rfam family "Bacterial small subunit ribosomal RNA", at positions 75 to 913 of the family's 1533-position model. The record is from RNAcentral. Lineage: Bacteria; Bacillati; Actinomycetota; Actinomycetes; Kitasatosporales; Streptomycetaceae.